GGAAGCCCGCGCGCUCGACUGAGGCGGGAGAUUGCGAGAGGGGAGCGGCGGAGGAGCUGAGGGGGAGGCGGCAUAGCAGGGGUUCCCCCCCGUUUUUGGGAGUCUCCCAUGGUGCCCUCUCCCCAAAAAGCUCCGAGGGCCCCCUGAAGUGGCUCCUGUUCCCCCAGCCGGUGCCCCCUGAUCCAGGACAGCCCCAGUGAGUCUGGGGGGAUUUUUGGGGGCUUUUUGGGGGGAUUUUGGGAGGGGUUUUGGGGAUUUGGUGGGGGUUUUUGGGGAGAAUUAUUGGGUUUUGGGGGGUGAUUUGGGAGGGUUUUGUGGAUUUGUGGGGUUUGGAUUUUGGGGGAUUUUAUUGUAGUUGUGGAGGGUUUCUUGGGGGGGAUUUAUUGAAAUUUUCGAGAGUGUUUUUAAAUUUUGGGUGGGUUCCACUGGUAUUUUGUGGGAUUUGCGUGUGUUCAGAGGGUUUUUGGGGGAUUUUGGAGGUUUUUAGUGGAAUUUUGGGGGGGCUUUGCAGUUAUCCCCGGAUGUGGGGAAGGGCUGAGAGGCACCAAAAUCUCCUUAAAAUCCCCAAAAGUCCAUAUAAAACCCACGACAUCCCAAUUAACUCUCACAAAGUCCUGAUCCUUCGAUAUUGGCUCUUCCUAUCAGUGUGAAGCAGAAUUCACCAAGCGUUGGAUUAUUCACCCAACUAAUAGGGAACGUGAGCUGGGUUUAGACCGUCAUGAGACAGGUUAGUUUUACCCUACUGAUGAUGUGUUGUUGCAAUAGUAAUCCUGCUCAGUACGAGACGAACCGCAGGUGUGUGCACUUGGUGCGUGCACUUGGCUGAGGAGCCACUGGCAUGAGCAUCUGUGGGCUUAUGACUGAACGCCUCUAAGUCAGAAUCUCGCCUAGAUGUAGCGAUACUGCAGUGCUGCCGGCGCCUCGGUGGGCUUGUGAUAGCUGGCCGCCUGCAUGCUCUGUGAGGAGCACCGCUCGUGGUUGGGACUGGAGGGGCAGACAGAGGCAGUACUGCCUCUCCCCCGCCGCGUACCGCAUGACUGUGGGGCACCGGAUGCUAAAUCAUUCGUAGACGACCUGAUUCUGGGACAGGGUUUUGUACAUAGCAGAGCAGCUCCCUCGCUGUGAUCUAUUUAGAAUCAGCCCUCGACACAAGCUUUUGUUGUCGUGCUAUCUCUCUCACUCUCUCGAAUACAAGCGGCCAGCCUGCCACUCCAGCAUGCGGGCGCAGUCUGCCUUUUUCCUCCUUCUCCUCCUCUUAGGUCUCUCUUGGUGGGCCAGUGACAACAGGGGGCUUUUGCACUCUCCUCCGCAUGGGUCCAGGGCCCAAUUCGCAGAGUCCGGGGGCUGGGCACUGAGUGAAGGGCCCCGUGCCGCCAGUGGCACGCUCUGGGCAAGCGAGAGAGGCCCCCGCGGCCUCGACUCCCCUCCAUGUGGGUCCCAGGCCUGAUACACAGGGCAGGGCCUUGGCCGCACAGGCUGUGGCAGCAGCAAGUCUCCUGGCACCACACAUGGUGGCACACGGUGAGGGGGGAGGGGCCCGUUUGCCAUCGUCUCUAGUGGCAGGGGUAGACCUGGUGUCCCAGGGGCCAUGAUGGGAAGCGACGCGGUGGCUGGGCAGCAGCGGUGAGGCUGCUGUUGUCCACGGCCGGCCUUAGCCUGCGGUCGCCUAGGACUUGGGGUAGACUAGUUGCCCAGGGCCGGCCUUGGCCUUCGACCGCCUAGGACCUGGGGUAGACCUGUUGUCCAUGGCUGGCCUUAGCUUAUGCAGGUCUAGGGCAGACCUGUUGUCCCUGGCCAGGCUUAGCUUAUGCAGGCCCAGGGUAGACCUGCUGUCCCUGGCCCGCCUUGGCUUACGCAGGGUCGGGGUAGACCUGUUGUCUGCAGCCGGCCUUAGUUUACAGAGCCCCGGUGUAGUCCUGUUAUCCGCAGCUGGCUUCAGCCCUGGGGUGCCAACCACCGAAUUGACCAACAGCCCGUGAUAAUUCGUGUGGACCCGUUGCAGGGUCCAGGCCUGCAAGCACAUGUAGGGCGGGCAGCAUGCAUGUCUGGCAGGCCCGCACGAGCACAACGUGGUUGGCCCUGCUCCAGAGGGGCCGCCUGCCUGGUACCACAUCCUCCUUCCCCCCAAAAGCCUGGAUGUGAUGGCUGCCGACUGUCACUCCCACCUGUUCCCACAGUCUUGUUUCCCAGGGAAAAGGGCCUGCAUUACUGUUCAGGGCCUGUGGCCCAGAGUGGCUGGCUGGCUCCAAAAAUUCCUCAUUGCCUCCCAGACCCAAACUGGUGCAAGUGCAAACUCAGGUUUGUUUGACAAUGCUUAGUGACUUCUGCAAUUUGCCAUCAGGCACCCAGGCAGGUGAGGUUUGUUUCCCAGGGAUAAUGGCUGGCAUAGGUGUUCGGGGCCUGGGGUCGGGAGUGGGCAGCUGGAUCUUAGAAUACCGCAUUGUGCAGGAUGCCUCCCAGACCCAAGCUGACACCACUUGCAACUCAGGCUGGUUUGACAGUGCCAAGUUGCUGCUACAACUUAAGAGGAUAUUUUUUGCCUCUUUUCAUGAUGCUCUUCUUGUUUUACAUCCUGCUCUGAUUCUUGUGAAACUUUUUCAUUAUCUUCUCUCUAAAAAGGAGGACCUUCUAUUUAGCAUCCGUCCCUACUACGGUAGGGAUUUUUUUUUUUCCAUUCAGAUUGUUGAGCUCAAAAAUAGAAUUGGAACUAGCAGGAAUUACUGUGUUUUAAGUUUCUGGUUCGUUAAGACAAUAUCAGGUUGAUAACAGCCUACCUUCUGUUGGCUAAAUACUCUCUUUCCCCCAAGGGAGGAUGCAUGCAUUUUAAUGGAACUUUCUGUAACAAACUCCAGUUAUGGAGAAUAUACACAAAUAGCUGGAAAAACUAUUUGACCAUUUGGGGAAGCAACCUUCUUACCUUCUUUUGGAAUGAACAUAGUCUGCUAGCUGAAGUAAUAAGCUUGAGGACAGAAAUCUACCUUCUAGUGAGAAGUUGCUGACAAGGGAAACACCUAAGCUUUGUGACUUUCCCCUUUCUGACUAUUGGUCAAGCAUAGUAACCUAAAAUUAAUGGCGUCAGUCAAAGAAAAAUGCUUAUCUGGUCAGAGGUCUAUGAAAGGUCCAAAAAUAAUCGGAGGUCUUCUUAGAUAAUGGAAAUGGUAGCAGAGCUACCAAUCUAUUUUCUUUGAAACAUAUCCCUAAAACUCAUUAUUUUAUAUUCAUAAAAAAUAUAUAGUCACCAGUACAAUCAGGAAAAGAUGAAACUUACUGAUGUCAGCAAGGGAAGGAUUUUAAAGAACUAUUCCCAUGAAUCAUCGUCUAGACAGAAACUCUAUCAGUAAAAUCAGAGCGCCUUUAGUAAGUACCACUUCUGGGAAAUUCAGACCUCCUGGACAAGGGACCAAGAGGAUUAAGCAGAAGUUGUUUAUUGUUUACAUCAUGCGCUUACACAUUCUAACUCUCUGCACAUGCUACUCAUGCAUUUCUUAUUGAUGCCUUUGUCUUCUCCACGCAUUCUGUGUGCAGCCCUCAGAAGAUGUGUUUGCUUACAGUCCAGGAGCUUUGCCACCCCCAGUUAUCAGGUUCUUGUUGUCAUGGAAUUUGGUUUCUCAGCUUCUCCUUUCUUAUUUUAGCACAGCUUAUGUCUUAGUAACUUUGGUCAAUUCCAGAGGGCCCUGAGAAAAUUCUGACAGCAACAGUUCCAAGCUGGAUGGCUGGUGCACCCUGUAGUCUAAGUGGUUAAGAUACAUUGCUACAAUACCCCCUUCUUGCACCAGUCAGACCCUUGCCACGGUAUUUUCUACCAAGAGGCUCACCAAUUUCAAGAUGCAUGGAAUACCACAAAGCAAUAUUAUAAUGACCAUUAGUAUAAACAAAGCUCCCUUUACGAGAUUUUUCAACCAUCGAUUUCUUUCCCAUCCCACAAAACAUUCAUGCAAACCCCACUCAUUCCCAGUCAAUUUCUUCAUGUUUUCUUGUCAUUGUUUGAGUUCGGCUCAGAGAGGCUGAGAAACACAUUCCUUCAAAUUCCUCACACUCGUGACCAUAUGCUAACAAAAAAAUCUAUAGUAGCUCUAUUUUGCAGUGCUCCAUUUCUAAUACUAUUACAUCAAUGAGCAUCUGAUGUAAAAUAGCUGUUACCUUUAGUUGUUUGACCAUCAGGCAUCCCAACUUAUUAAACGUAGGCAAAGCUUGACAAGAAGCGACACCUAGAGUAAGGAAUGCCGCUAUUAAUCCCGUGGGAUAGCCCAAACCUCCCCACAAUUGUGGAAAUCAAGUCUUAAACUGGAGAUUGUUCAUUCAGUACUACAGGAGGCAAAGAAGUGGCUUCUUUGCUCACAGAGCAUUUUGCCGGUCGUGGUGUGUUCCCAGCUUAUCAAACAUAGGCAAAGCUUGACAAGGAGAGUGGUAAGGAACUGUCCUCUAUCACUUCAAAAGCUGCCCAAAGAAUCCCAGUGUUGUGCAGCUUCGUUCUUAAUGUCUCAGCAGCUGUCUUGCUCUUCGUCUCUCGGAGGAGAAGAAGUGGCUUCUUUGGGCACUGAGCAUUGUGCCUGACGCGGUGUGCUCCGUAGCGCUGCUUCUGCCGAAAGAAGCCCGGGACCAGCACUUACCUUCAAAGAGCUCCGUAUCUCUGUCUUCUGCAUCUCUCGGAGCCUGUGUUGGCAUUCAGGAACACAUAAUCACGAGAAAUGAUUAUAUGCAGGUGCUUUUAUUGAAGAGCUCUGGGUGUUAGGGGUACAAACCCAAAUCUGACUCCGACAUAGGUUCAGGAUGGAUAUGCUUUUAUAUUCUAUUGUUAUAUAACUUUCAUGUUAAUUAUUAAACUUACAUUGUUCUAUAGUAUACAUAGAUUUCAACCAAGCAUAGCCACCUUAGACUAGGAACAUACAGUUUCUCAUUGUUCUUCUUAUGAUUAUACAAUAUUUAUUUUAAUUACUACUACUUACUCAGGUAAAACACAAGGCUUAACAUUUCAGAGUUUAUCUUAGCAUUUUCCAGGGCACCACUAUCACCUGCAUCUUCGCAUAAAGCUUUUACACUAUUUCUCGCAAGGGGAAACUGUGCCAGCACAGCAAACAUCCCCCAGCCUUUUACUAGAACUUGCACGGAGGGCUGCAGGAAGACUAGCAAGUAACACAGGAGUGUUGUACAAGAACUCCUUCCAUACGAAUGCUAAUGUGAAUUUAGGAGGCAGGCAAGUGACCAGGGAUCGUCUUCCCUCAGUUUGAUAGCUGCGCAGAGAAUCUCCAUCUUGAGAGGCUUCGUUCUUCACAUCUCAGCAGCUGCCGUGUUCUCCGUCUCCCCGAGGUGAAGAAGCGGCUUCUUCUCGCACUGAGCAUUGCAGCCGUCUUAUCCCUAAUUAUUCAGCCUAGCCAAAGCCUGAGGAGCAGCCACACCUAACGUAAGCAAUGACGCUAUGAAUCCAGCUAGAUUGCUCAAACCUCUACACGACUGUUGCAAUCAGGUCUUACGCUAGUGAUUGUUCUUUCAGUUCUCCUGGAGACCUGCAUCUUAGCGAAAAGCUUUUCUACUACAUCUUGCAAGGAGAAAUCACCAGCACAGCAAGCGUCUCCCAAUUAUGCCCUUGAACUUUGCACUUGCUGCAUAUUCAAAAACCACUCUUCUUUCUUAGGUUAGCUGCAAGUUGUUUUUAAAUCGCUGCGCUCCCUGUCCUUUCCUCCCCAGUGCAAAUACACACAGGCACAUUACCUUGUAGGUAAUAAAUCCAGAUAACAGAUCCAGGAAGAAUAUGCCCUGACUUUGAGAAACAAUACCAAUUGAAGAGGAAAAAGAUGGUCCCUUCUUUGAGACCCAGUAUCACACAUCUGGGUGCAGGGGGAAGAGAGGUAUCUGUGUGUGUGAAUGGGAAGUGUACUCACCCACAAACCAGAGCCAAUAUUUGGUAACUCACAUAUAGCAAAUGUGGAUGCUUAUAGUUUCCUGCUCUUUAUUAAUCUUUUUUUCAAAGGUUAAUUUGCUUUUAAAGAUUUUCUAGUCAGUUGAAACAUUCUUCUGUGUUUGUGUGAGAAUAGAAAUCUCCAUAAAGUUUACUGUGUAAGGGGAAUACCUUGGACUAGAUGAUGACUAUUUAGAAGAUGAUAUUUUCAUCUGCAUCAAUCAAUUUCCUUGUUUUGGAAAUAUUUUUGUUUUUCAAAGUAGUAACUUUUAAUAAGUAUUUUUAGAAGGUGAAAAAUUGAGAUCCUCAUUUCUAUCACAGAAAUACAAAGAAAAUCUAUUAAAACCAUCCGUUGCAUCAUUUAAAUGUUGUAUUUUUGAAUUUUCAAUAGCUAACUUGAAUUCUCAGGUUAAAAUCACCUUUAAAUGCUCUGUUGUCACACAAUUUUGUUAUUUAUCCAUUUCUAAGCUUCUGAAUUAUAUAUAAGGAAGAGUUAUUUACUGCAACUACUUGACAGUUUGCAAAUUAACAUCAAAGUUGAGGAAGGGAGGGAGGAAGGGAAGGACUCCAGGACUCCAAGAUUCCAGGACUCCAAGAAGGAAGGGAGGGAGGGAGUUGGGAAAUGUCAGAAAUCUUAAAAAUUAUAAAACAUUUGUGUGAAUGAUAUUUAAGUGCUCGGACUGUUACUAGAUAUAGUAAUGCUAAAUGGAACAUGUGACACUAGAACAGUUAAACUCAUUGGAUGGCAGUUUCUCAGAAUCAAUAGUCUGUUAUUUCUAUCUUCAACUACUUACUGCUAUUGCACAGAAUGAAUAGUAGCACUGAAGAAUAGAAUGAUUGGAGUUGGAAGGAACCUUAAAGUUCACCUAAAUUCACCCCCCCAUGCCAUUAGCAGGGACACCUUCCACUAGACCGCCUUAAGCUCAAAGACCCAUUCAAGCUGGCCUUGAACACUUCCAGGAAUGGGUCACCCACAACAUGUUCCAGUGUCUCACAACCCUCCUGGCAAGGAAUUUCUUGCCAAUAUCCAAAGGAAAUAUAUACUCUUUAGGACUUAAAGCCAUCAAAACUUUUCCUAUCGCUCCAUACCCUUGUGUAGCUCAUCUGCCUCCUUCUGGUAGGCUGCCUUCAGGUACUGGAGGGAUGCUCUAACAAUUGGCCCAGAGUCUGCUCUUCUCCAGGUUGAGAAGAUGCCUGGAGGACUCUGGCUUGAUGAUAGCCUUCUUGUGUUACACUGGGGGCUCAGACCUUUCUUUAUGGAAUUGUUGUAGGAUGCUCAGCCACUGCUGAUUGCUCUUCAUGGUGGUAGAGGUAAUAAAUAGUUUGUUGUUUUAAUAAAGACACACUUGAAAUUUUAAAGCAAAAUUAAUUGGAGAAAGCUAAAUUUUAAAGCAAAAUUAAUUGGAGAAAGAUUCCUAAACCUCUGGCCUGUUACCUGAGCACAUCUAUUGAUUGUAAAUUACAUUCCUUGCACAUGUUAUGAUGCAUGAACCAAAGCCAAGUGAUGUAUACUACUUAAGACAGAUGUUCUACCUGCUUACUGGAACAUGUUCUUAUGGUUCUAAAACAAUCCCCCGAACAUUAAGAACAAGAGAUUACUGUAGGAAAGACAUUCUGUGCUGUUUUUGUGAGCUAGCAAAGGCCUCCAGAAGAUAAGGAAGCCCUAUAUCUCUCCUGAAGGAAGACACCAAGGUUGUCACCAUGGAGACAGGAUGAAGGAGAGAAAGUUAGGAGAUAGCUCACAGAGUGACAUUGUUCCUACUGGGAACUUUGUUUCUCUUAUAUGACCAAUGGACAUUGAAUGUGUAUGCUGGAUGGGUGCAAGUGUCUUGAAAAGUAUAAAAGUAACGUUGCAAAAAAUAAAUCUCUCUCUUGCACCUUUUUGAUGGAGUCGUGUACUUUUGUACCAUGUCAUACUCUAUUGCGACAUCUGGUGACCCCCGACAUGAUUGCAAUGGGACUGUAAAAAGAGAGUAAAAAGAAAAAAAAAUUUUUGAAGGGUACCCUAUAAAAAUGAGUGAAGGCAGCAGGGACGCUGUGAAGGUCCGAACCUAAUUCAGACGUCUGAUUUGAGGUGAGCAAUUGGCAAAAUAAUGGGAAAUAAUUUGUCAAACAAGGAAAAUAUUAUUUUGUCCACAUGGAAAACUUUACUGAAAAUAAAAAAUGUUCAAACUUCUGA
Molecule: long non-coding RNA, 8075 nt
Organism: Serinus canaria (Common canary)
Lineage: Eukaryota; Metazoa; Chordata; Aves; Passeriformes; Fringillidae
Exons: 2
Source: RefSeq, a predicted model, not a curated record